RNAcentral lists this unclassified non-coding RNA (371 nucleotides) under fungal sp. RNAcentral describes it as "partial internal transcribed spacer region". The stretch from base 1 to 46 matches the Rfam family "Eukaryotic small subunit ribosomal RNA", at positions 1786 to 1831 of the family's 1831-position model. Lineage: Eukaryota; Fungi. The record is from RNAcentral.
AAGUCGUAACAAGGUUUCCGUAGGUGAACCUGCGGAAGGAUCAUUUCCGUAUCAAUUUGAGGCUUUUUGGGAUGGGUUUUUUUUGAAAGGGGUUUGAGGGCAACCUUGAAUUUCUGAGAAAAGGACUCGUUUCAAAAGCUUUAAAGAGAUUGUGUGGUUUAAAUGCGGAUAGAUUAUGGAGAGCAUGCCAAAGGAGGUAAAAGACCUGAGGCAUGUUUCUUCAUUUUCUAUUCACCAUUUUUUAAUACAACAAAACACGAUGAUUACUAUUGUAUCAACCAAGAGGAUCUUUGAUUACUUUACUGUAGUUGAAGGUUCACUACCAAAAUAUUAAUGACAAACAACUGUCAACGGUGGAUCUCUUGGCUCGU